Molecule: ribosomal RNA, 339 nt
Filed under: uncultured Arthrobacter sp.
Lineage: Bacteria; Bacillati; Actinomycetota; Actinomycetes; Micrococcales; Micrococcaceae
Description: bacterial SSU rRNA
Rfam family: Bacterial small subunit ribosomal RNA
Source: RNAcentral
GGUUGAUCAUGGCUCAGGAUGAACGCUGGCGGCGUGCUUAACACAUGCAAGUCGAACGAUGAUGCCAGCUUGCUGGUGGAUUAGUGGCGAACGGGUGAGUAACACGUGAGUAACCUGCCCUUGACUCUGGGAUAAGCCUGGGAAACUGGGUCUAAUACCGGAUAUGACUGACCGUCGCAUGGUGGUUGGUGGAAAGCUUUUGCGGUUUUGGAUGGACUCGCGGCCUAUCAGCUUGUUGGUGGGGUAAUGGCCUACCAAGGCGACGACGGGUAGCCGGCCUGAGAGGGUGACCGGCCACACUGGGACUGAGACACGGCCCAGACUCCUACGGGAGGCAGC